ACCUGCAAGAAAGUGUCCCGUGGCGGAGGACGCAUGCGCGCAGGUUGGCCACCCAGCCGUGGACGUCGCGGCCCGCGCCCCGCUCGAACGCUGGUGCCGAAGGCACGGGCGGCGGUGGCCGUCGGACGAGGUGCUGGGCGCGGCUGGGCACUGCACUCCCCGUUACCUUCUGGCUUUCGGGUUUCCAAGCAAAGAUUUGCGUACGAGUGCGUCCACCCGGCCCCAUGUGAAGGCCGCUAGCUUAAAGCGUGUCCUGAAGUUGACCAGAUAGCUCUGUCAGACUCAGCCAUACAAAGGAACAAAGUCCUGACACAUGCUACAGCAUGGAUGAACCUUGCAAAUAUGAAUGACGUCCGUCCGACAGAUAAGCAGAAACGAGCUUCGCACGUCCAGAAGCAGAGCCAGGAGGCAGAUCCCAGCGGCACACCCCCACAGACACAAGUGGCAGGUGGCGGCCCUUGUCAGUCACGAAGACCAGCUGCCUCACGUAGUACUUGUACUUGCCGGACACCUGGAUCACUGACUCCCCAGGGUGCAGGACGAUCUCCUCCAGUUUUCCCUGGGUGCCGCCCACGUAGUCGCUC
Mirounga angustirostris (Northern elephant seal) is the source of this 584-nucleotide long non-coding RNA. RefSeq lists it as uncharacterized. The record is from RefSeq and is a predicted model, not a curated record. The transcript is spliced from 4 exons. NCBI's taxonomy places the organism in Eukaryota, Metazoa, Chordata, Mammalia, Carnivora, Phocidae.